GAUGAAGAACGUAGCGAAAUGCGAUACUUGGUGUGAAUUGCAGAAUCCCGUGAACCAUCGAGUCUUUGAACGCAAGUUGCGCCCCAAGCCGCCAGGCCGAGGGCACGCCUGCCUGGGCGUCACGCAACGUCGCCCCCAACACCCUGUGUUCUGGGCGGAUACUGGCCU
This 168-nucleotide ribosomal RNA is filed under the name Helianthemum lunulatum. Its description in RNAcentral is "5.8S ribosomal RNA". The stretch from base 1 to 122 matches the Rfam family "5.8S ribosomal RNA", at positions 35 to 154 of the family's 154-position model. Rfam says of the family: 5.8S ribosomal RNA (5.8S rRNA) is a component of the large subunit of the eukaryotic ribosome. It is transcribed by RNA polymerase I as part of the 45S precursor that also contains 18S and 28S rRNA. Functionally, it is thought that 5.8S rRNA may be involved in ribosome translocation. The record is from RNAcentral. Lineage: Eukaryota; Viridiplantae; Streptophyta; Magnoliopsida; Malvales; Cistaceae.